This 723-nucleotide ribosomal RNA is filed under the name Cytobacillus firmus. Its description in RNAcentral is "bacterial SSU rRNA". It matches the Rfam family "Bacterial small subunit ribosomal RNA", at positions 31 to 738 of the family's 1533-position model. Lineage: Bacteria; Bacillati; Bacillota; Bacilli; Caryophanales; Bacillaceae. The record is from RNAcentral.
GAACGCUGGCGUCGUGCYUAAUACAUGCAAGUCGAGCGGUCAGAUGGGAGCUUGCUCCCUGAAGUCAGCGGCGGACGGGUGAGUAACACGUGGGCAACCUGCCUGUAAGACUGGGAUAACUCCGGGAAACCGGGGCUAAUACCGGAUAAUUCUUCCCUCACAUGAGGGAAAGCUGAAAGAUGGUUUCGGCUAUCACUUACAGAUGGGCCCGCGGCGCAUUAGCUAGUUGGUGAGGUAACGGCUCACCAAGGCAACGAUGCGUAGCCGACCUGAGAGGGUGAUCGGCCACACUGGGACUGAGACACGGCCCAGACUCCUACGGGAGGCAGCAGUAGGGAAUCUUCCGCAAUGGACGAAAGUCUGACGGAGCAACGCCGCGUGAGUGAUGAAGGUUUUCGGAUCGUAAAACUCUGUUGUUAGGGAAGAACAAGUACCGGAGUAACUGCCGGUACCUUGACGGUACCUAACCAGAAAGCCACGGCUAACUACGUGCCAGCAGCCGCGGUAAUACGUAGGUGGCAAGCGUUGUCCGGAAUUAUUGGGCGUAAAGCGCGCGCAGGCGGUUCCUUAAGUCUGAUGUGAAAGCCCCCGGCUCAACCGGGGAGGGUCAUUGGAAACUGGGGAACUUGAGUGCAGAAGAGAAGAGUGGAAUUCCACGUGUAGCGGUGAAAUGCGUAGAGAUGUGGAGGAACACCAGUGGCGAAGGCGACUCUUUGGUCUGUA